Molecule: non-coding RNA, 549 nt
Organism: Drosophila bipectinata
Lineage: Eukaryota; Metazoa; Arthropoda; Insecta; Diptera; Drosophilidae
Source: RefSeq, a predicted model, not a curated record
UUACACAAAAUGGAUGAUUGGUAGUGGACGAGAGUGUGUGACAAACAAAAUGGUAACGAAACGAAUUAGUAAUAAGAAGCAGUAAUAAAAAAUGAACUAUAAAAUCUCAUGCAACAUCACUACAAAAUAAAUAAAUUUCAAUUAAUUAAACAAUACAAAAUCAUCGUCAUCAUAGCAUUGCUAUCAUCAACAUAUCAUUAUUAUCAUCAUCAUUGAUGGACCUCCGGAGAUGGAACUGCAAAGUCAGUUCGUGGAUUCUGGCCUAAAGAGGACUAAGGAGGAUCAGACAUCGCAUCAAAAACACAAUCCGUGUCGGCCUGGCCACUAAAAAUAUAAAUCUGAUGGGAAGAACAUGAAUCACCGUGUACCGAGACUCGAUGACUGAACAGCCGUAACUGAUUAAUCUAAUUAAAUUCGUUUCUGCACCAUAAACAGAAUCAUCAAUUCAUGUUCUUGGGUAAUGACCAGGUCUAUGAGUUGGCCAACUGACAUUGCUAUAUCUGAAUGAUCCACCUUAUAGACAGCCUUAGCAGCAGCACCAACAUCGAA